GUGCCAGCAGCCGCGGUAAAACGUAGGAGGCAAGCGUUAUCCGAAUUUACUGGGCGUAAAGCGCGUGCAGGCGGUGCGGUAAGUUGGAUGUGAAAUCUUCUGGCUCAACUGGGAGAGGUCGUUCAAAACUGCCGGACUAGAGGAUGGUAGAGGAAGGUGGAAUUCCCGGUGUAGUAGUGAAAUGCGUAGAUAUCGGGAGGAACACCUGUGGCGAAAGCGGCCUUCUAGGCCAUACCUGACGCUCAGACGCGAAAGCUAGGGGAGCGAACGGGAUUAGAAACCCCAGUAGUCC
This 292-nucleotide ribosomal RNA is filed under the name uncultured bacterium. RNAcentral describes it as "partial 16S ribosomal RNA". It matches the Rfam family "Bacterial small subunit ribosomal RNA", at positions 505 to 796 of the family's 1533-position model. The record is from RNAcentral.